AUUGAACGCUGGCGGCAUGCCUUACACAUGCAAGUCGAACGGUAACAGGUCUUCGGAUGCUGACGAGUGGCGAACGGGUGAGUAAUACAUCGGAACGUGCCUAGUAGUGGGGGAUAACUACUCGAAAGAGUGGCUAAUACCGCAUGAGAUCUACGGAUGAAAGCAGGGGAUCGCAAGACCUUGUGCUACUAGAGCGGCCGAUGGCAGAUUAGGUAGGUGGUGGGAUAAAAGCUUACCAAGCCGACGAUCUGUAGCUGGUCUGAGAGGACGAUCAGCCACACUGGGACUGAGCCACGGCCCAGACUCCUACGGGAGGCAGCAGUGGGGAAUUUUGGACAAUGGGCGAAAGCCUGAUCCAGCAAUGCCGCGUGCAGGAUGAAGGCCUUCGGGUUGUAAACUGCUUUUGUACGGAACGAAAAGCCCUGGGUUAAUACCCUGGGGUCAUGACGGUACCGUAAGAAAAAGCACCGGCUAACUACGUGCCAGCAGCCGCGGUAA
Molecule: ribosomal RNA, 498 nt
Filed under: uncultured bacterium
Lineage: Bacteria
Description: partial 16S ribosomal RNA
Rfam family: Bacterial small subunit ribosomal RNA
Source: RNAcentral